RNAcentral lists this ribosomal RNA (252 nucleotides) under uncultured bacterium. RNAcentral describes it as "partial 16S ribosomal RNA". It matches the Rfam family "Bacterial small subunit ribosomal RNA", at positions 525 to 776 of the family's 1533-position model. The record is from RNAcentral.
ACGGAGGGUGCAAGCGUUAUCCGGAUUUAUUGGGUUUAAAGGGUCCGUAGGCGGAUGAUUAAGUCAGUGGUGAAAGCCCACAGCUCAACUGUGGAAUUGCCAUUGAUACUGAUUGUCUUGAGUACGUUUGAUGUUGGCGGAAUAUGUCAUGUAGCGGUGAAAUGCUUAGAUAUGACAUAGAACACCGAUUGCGAAGGCAGCCAACAAAGCCGUAACUGACGCUGAGGGACGAAAGCGUGGGGAGCGAACAGG